UACGUAGGAUGCAAGCGUUGUCCGGAUUCAUUGGGCGUAAAGAGCGUGUAGGCGGCCAGGUAGGUCGGUUGUGAAAACUGGAGGCUCAACCUUCAGAGGUCGACCGAAACCAUCUGGCUAGAGUCCGGGAGAGGAGAGUGGAAUUCCUGGUGUAGCGGUGAAAUGCGCAGAUAUCAGGAAGAACACCCGUGGCGAAAGCGGCUCUCUGGAACGGUACUGACGCUGAGACGCGAAAGCGUGGGGAGCGAACAGG
Molecule: ribosomal RNA, 253 nt
Filed under: uncultured bacterium
Lineage: Bacteria
Description: partial 16S ribosomal RNA
Rfam family: Bacterial small subunit ribosomal RNA
Source: RNAcentral